CCGGCCGCUGGUCCUGGGAGGAGCCGAGGCGGGCGCGCGGCCCGGCGGGCUCGGGGACAGCCGCGCAGCUCCCCCUGCUGGCCGCUCCGCGAGCACGCGCUGCCGGUGGGAGGGCAACGCGGGCGCCGCAAGGACGCGCACAAAGGAGGCGGACGCGGCAGCCAUGCUGGGCCCGGGGCCGCGGCUUCCCGCAGUCGCUCCUAAAACGCAAAAGGAGACAUCCUGCCCUGGCACCUUGAAAAUAUUCCUUCACCCCCCGAGCUGAGCAGCCUGCAGAGACAACAGGGGGGAGGUCAGGAAUCCUAGGCUCGGCCAACUGCCAUACAGUAAGUCACCUCUCACGGUUUGUAAAAGGAGUUUGGCAUUCCAGGGAAGAGAAGAAAGCAAACUGUCCAAAUGCAGAGAGAUAUCUGAAUCUUAUUCCUCAGUUCUUAAGAGAUGCUUACAGGUCAUUUUUCCCAUUCUACUAUGUCAUCUACUAUGAGAUUCGACAAGAUGACGUUGGGCCUACGUGCUUAACAGGAGAGGACAGAAAGACACCCUCAUCACCCCCACUGUCAGAGGCAAAUCCGGCCCAAGACCUGAAUCUGAGUCCCACCACUGGAGCAAGGAGCCUGUGGUUUCGCCAUCAGGGAGCAGCGAAAACCCAGAGCUUUAAAUCAUGGUGACAGCCCUGCAGGCACUUUGACCAGUCAAGGGCUUCCGGGGCCCCGCAGGCUGGCACGCUGUUCUCCUGGGUCCUGCACUUGACACCCCAACCUGCUCCAAACCACACUCCCAGCUCCUGCUCCUCUCCGGCUGUCUGCUCAAUCAGAU
RNAcentral lists this long non-coding RNA (816 nucleotides) under Vulpes vulpes (red fox). Its description in RNAcentral is "lncRNA (ENSVVUG00000006599.1)". The record is from RNAcentral. Lineage: Eukaryota; Metazoa; Chordata; Mammalia; Carnivora; Canidae.